This 66-nucleotide transfer RNA is filed under the name Apocephalus antennatus. Its description in RNAcentral is "tRNA-Pro". The record is from RNAcentral. Lineage: Eukaryota; Metazoa; Arthropoda; Insecta; Diptera; Phoridae.
CAAGAAAUAGUUUAUUUAAAAUAUUAAUUUUGGAGAUUAAUGAUAAAGAAAGUUCUUUUUUCUUGA